RNAcentral lists this ribosomal RNA (465 nucleotides) under uncultured bacterium. RNAcentral's name for it is "partial 16S ribosomal RNA". It matches the Rfam family "Bacterial small subunit ribosomal RNA", at positions 28 to 507 of the family's 1533-position model. The record is from RNAcentral.
GACGAACGCUGGCGGCGUGCUUAACACAUGCAAGUCGAACGGAAAGGCCCCUUUGGGGGUACUCGAGUGGCGAACGGGUGAGUAACACGUGAGUAACCUGCCCUUGACUUCGGGAUAACUUCAGGAAACUGGGGCUAAUACCGGAUAGGAAUCCUUGCUGCAUGGUGCGGGUUGGAAAGCUUCGGCGGUUUUGGAUGGACUCGCGGCUUAUCAGCUUGUUGGUGGGGUAGUGGCUUACCAAGGCUUUGACGGGUAGCCGGCCUGAGAGGGCGACCGGCCACAUUGGGACUGAGAUACGGCCCAGACUCCUACGGGAGGCAGCAGUGGGGAAUAUUGCACAAUGGGCGGAAGCCUGAUGCAGCAACGCCGCGUGCGGGAUGACGGCCUUCGGGUUGUAAACCGCUUUCAGCAGGGGCGAAGCUUGUGGUGACGGUACCUGCAGAAGAAGCACCGGCUAACUACGUG